GAGUUUGAUCCUGGCUCAGGAUGAACGCUGGCGGCGUGCCUAAUACAUGCAAGUCGAGCGAAUGGAUUAAGAGCUUGCUCUUAUGAAGUUAGCGGCGGACGGGUGAGUAACACGUGGGUAACCUGCCCAUAAGACUGGGAUAACUCCGGGAAACCGGGGCUAAUACCGGAUAACAUUUUGAACCGCAUGGUUCGAAAUUGAAAGGCGGCUUCGGCUGUCACUUAUGGAUGGACCCGCGUCGCAUUAGCUAGUUGGUGAGGUAACGGCUCACCAAGGCAACGAUGCGUAGCCGACCUGAGAGGGUGAUCGGCCACACUGGGACUGAGACACGGCCCAGACUCCUACGGGAGGCAGCAGUAGGGAAUCUUCCGCAAUGGACGAAAGUCUGAUGGAGCAACGCCGCGUGAGUGAUGAAGGCUUUCGGGUCGUAAAACUCUGUUGUUAGGGAAGAACAAGUGCUAGUUGAAUAAGCUGGCACCUUGACGGUACCUAACCAGAAAGCCACGGCUAACUACGUGCCAGCAGCCGCGGUAAUACGUAGGUGGCAAGCGUUAUCCGGAACUAUUGGGCGUAAAGCGCGCGCAGGUGGUUUCUUAAGUCUGAUGUGAAAGCCCACGGCUCAACCGUGGAGGGUCAUUGGAAACUGGGAGACUUGAGUGCAGAAGAGGAAAGUGGAAUUCCAUGUGUAGCGGUGAAAUGCGUAGAGAUAUGGAGGAACACCAGUGGCGAAGGCGACUUUCUGGUCUGUAACUGACACUGAGGCGCGAAAGCGUGGGGGAGCAACAGGAUUAGAUACCCUGGUAGU
RNAcentral lists this ribosomal RNA (805 nucleotides) under uncultured bacterium. RNAcentral describes it as "bacterial SSU rRNA". It matches the Rfam family "Bacterial small subunit ribosomal RNA", at positions 9 to 794 of the family's 1533-position model. The record is from RNAcentral.